CGGAGGAAAAGAAACUAACAAGGAUUCCCCUAGUAACGGCGAGUGAAGCGGGAAGAGCUCAAAUUUGAAAUCUGGCAGUCUUCGAUUGUCCGAGUUGUAAUCUAUAGAGGCGUUUUCCGUGCCGGACCGUGUCCAAGUCUCCUGGAAAGGAGUAUCAAAGAGGGUGAUAAUCCCGUACUUAACACGACCACCGGUGCUCUGUGAUACGUCUUCUACGAGUCGAGUUGUUUGGGAAUGCAGCUCAAAAUGGGUGGUGAAUUCCAUCUAAAGCUAAAUAUUGGCGAGAGACCGAUAGCGAACAAGUACCGUGAGGGAAAGAUGAAAAGCACUUUGGAAAGAGAGUUAAACAGUACGUGAAAUUGUUGAAAGGGAAACGAUUGAAGUCAGUCGUGUUCUUUGGAUUCAGCCAGUUCUGCUGGUCUACUUCCUUGGAACGGGUCAACAUCAGUUUUGUCCGGUGGAUAAAGGUAGUAGGAAUGUGACUUCUCCGGAAGUGUUAUAGCCUAUUAUCACAUACACUGG
This 522-nucleotide ribosomal RNA is filed under the name Trichosporon asahii. Its description in RNAcentral is "partial large subunit ribosomal RNA". It matches the Rfam family "Eukaryotic large subunit ribosomal RNA", at positions 51 to 579 of the family's 3401-position model. The record is from RNAcentral. Lineage: Eukaryota; Fungi; Basidiomycota; Tremellomycetes; Trichosporonales; Trichosporonaceae.